RNAcentral lists this ribosomal RNA (500 nucleotides) under uncultured bacterium. Its description in RNAcentral is "partial 16S ribosomal RNA". It matches the Rfam family "Bacterial small subunit ribosomal RNA", at positions 30 to 523 of the family's 1533-position model. The record is from RNAcentral.
AUCGAACGCUGGCGGCAUGCCUUACACAUGCAAGUCGAACGGUAACGGGCCCUUCGGGAUGCCGACGAGUGGCGAACGGGUGAGUAAUAUAUCGGAACGUGCCCAGUAGUGGGGGAUAACUGCUCGAAAGAGCAGCUAAUACCGCAUACGACCUGAGGGUGAAAGGGGGGGAUCGCAAGACCUCUCGCUAUUGGAGCGGCCGAUAUCAGAUUAGCUAGUUGGUGGGGUAAAGGCCUACCAAGGCAACGAUCUGUAGUUGGUCUGAGAGGACGACCAGCCACACUGGGACUGAGACACGGCCCAGACUCCUACGGGAGGCAGCAGUGGGGAAUUUUGGACAAUGGGCGCAAGCCUGAUCCAGCAAUGCCGCGUGCAGGAAGAAGGCCUUCGGGUUGUAAACUGCUUUUGUCAGGGAAGAAAUCUUCUGGGCUAAUACCCCGGGAGGAUGACGGUGCCUGAAGAAUAAGCACCGGCUAACUACGUGCCAGCCGCCGCCGUAA